This 200-nucleotide ribosomal RNA is filed under the name uncultured Glomus. RNAcentral's name for it is "partial small subunit ribosomal RNA". It matches the Rfam family "Eukaryotic small subunit ribosomal RNA", at positions 591 to 795 of the family's 1831-position model. Lineage: Eukaryota; Fungi; Glomeromycota; Glomeromycetes; Glomerales; Glomeraceae. The record is from RNAcentral.
CCAAUAGCGUAUAUUAAAGUUGUUGCAGUUAAAAAGCUCGUAGUUGAAUUUCGGGAUCAAUAUUUCGGUCAUGCCGUUGGUAUGCACUGUUAUCAUUGAUUUCUCACCUUCUAAAGAACCGUAAUGCCAUUAAUUUGGUGUUACGUGGAAUUAGGACUGUUACCUUGAAAAAAUUAGAGUGUUUAAAGCAGGCUCACGCU